RNAcentral lists this ribosomal RNA (292 nucleotides) under uncultured bacterium. Its description in RNAcentral is "partial 16S ribosomal RNA". It matches the Rfam family "Bacterial small subunit ribosomal RNA", at positions 505 to 796 of the family's 1533-position model. The record is from RNAcentral.
GUGCCAGCAGCCGCGGUAAUACGAAGGGGGCUAGCGUUGUUCGGAAUUACUGGGCGUAAAGCGCACGUAGGCGGAUACUUAAGUUAGGGGUGAAAUCCCAGAGCUCAACUCUGGAACUGCCUUUAAUACUGGGUAUCUCGAGUCCGAGAGAGGUGAGUGGAAUUCCGAGUGUAGAGGUGAAAUUCGUAGAUAUUCGGAGGAACACCAGUGGCGAAGGCGGCUCACUGGCUCGGUACUGACGCUGAGGUGCGAAAGCGUGGGGAGCAAACAGGAUUAGAAACCCGUGUAGUCC